RNAcentral lists this ribosomal RNA (253 nucleotides) under uncultured bacterium. RNAcentral describes it as "partial 16S ribosomal RNA". It matches the Rfam family "Bacterial small subunit ribosomal RNA", at positions 524 to 776 of the family's 1533-position model. The record is from RNAcentral.
UACGGAGGAUGCGAGCGUUAUCCGGAUUUAUUGGGUUUAAAGGGCGUGUAGGCGGGAAUGCAAGUCAGAUGUGAAAACUCAGGGCUCAACCCUGAGCCUGCAUUUGAAACUGUAUUUCUUGAGUGCUGGAGAGGCAAUCGGAAUUCCGUGUGUAGCGGUGAAAUGCGUAGAUAUACGGAGGAACACCAGUGGCGAAGGCGGAUUGCUGGACAGUAACUGACGCUGAGGCGCGAAAGCGUGGGGAGCAAACAGG